RNAcentral lists this long non-coding RNA (720 nucleotides) under Rosa chinensis. RNAcentral's name for it is "sRNA RchiOBHm_Chr3g0484801". Lineage: Eukaryota; Viridiplantae; Streptophyta; Magnoliopsida; Rosales; Rosaceae. The record is from RNAcentral.
GAAAAACAGAAGUGAAAAGGCUCUAAAGAGACUCUAUGCAAGGAAUCAAUGAUUUCAAAAAUGAGGUUGUACACAUUGCCAAACUUUAGCACAUGAAUCUAGUGAAGCUUCUAGGGUGCUGCAUUCAACAAGAUGAAAUGAUGCUGAUCUACAACUGCAUGACCAACAAAAGCUUGGACUUCUUUAUUUUCUGUUUGAUCACUGAGAAACAGGGACGGAGCUACUCAAGGGCCUGCAGGGGCCAUGGCACCCCUUAACUUUUUGACUUCAUAUUUUGUAAUUGCUUGGUGGAUGUCCUAUUUGGCAUGUUAAUUUGCAGAUAGAUCAAAAAGCAUGUUACUGGAUUGGCCUAAGCGCUUUGUCAUUAUUAAUGGCAUUGCUCGGGAGCUUCUCUAUCUUCAUCAAGAUUCUUGACUAAGGGUAAUUCAUAGAGAUCUCAAUGCCAGUAACACAUUACUUGACAGAGAAUUCAACACAAAAAGCUCAGAUUUUGGCAUUGCUAGAAGAUAUGCAGAAAAUGAAACAAAAGCAAGAACGAAGAAAGUUGUUGGAACAUACUAUGGAGUUUUGGAGGAAGAGAAACCGAGGAUUCUCUCAUCCAGGCCAGAAUCUCAACCUUCUUGACAUGCAUGGAAGCUAUUCACAAAAGGCAGAUCCAUCGAACUUCUUGAUCCAUUAGUAGAGACUCCAGCACUCUACAUGAAGUCAUGUGAUCGAUUC